GAUAGUGGCGCACGGGUGCGUAACACGUAACUAACCUACCUAUAACUGGGGGAUAGCCCGCCGAAAGGCGGAUUAAUACCGCAUAAGCUAGUUGACUCGGCAUCGGGUUAUUAGUAAAGAUUUAUUGGUUAUAGAUGGGGUUGCGGGUCAUUAGCUAGUUGGUAAGGUAACGGCUUACCAAGGCGACGAUGACUAGGGGAGCUGAGAGGCUGGUCCCCCACACGGGCACUGAGAUACGGGCCCGACUCCUACGGGAGGCAGCAGUAGGGAAUAUUGGGCAAUGGGCGAGAGCCUGACCCAGCCAUGCCGCGUGCAGGAAGAAGGCUUUCUGAGUCGUAAACUGCUUUUGACAGGGAAGAAUAAGGACUACGUGUAGUCUGAUGACGGUACCUGCAGAAUAAGCACCGGCUAACUCCGUGCCAGCAGCCGCGGUAAUACGGAGGGUGCGAGCGUUGUCCGGAUUUAUUGGGUUUAAAGGGUGCGUAGGCGGCCGAUUAAGUCUGGGGUGAAAGCCCGCUGCUCAACAGCGGAACUGCCCUGGAUACUGGUUGGCUUGAGUACAGACGAGGUUGGCGGA
Molecule: ribosomal RNA, 577 nt
Filed under: uncultured Bacteroidota bacterium
Lineage: Bacteria; Pseudomonadati; Bacteroidota
Description: bacterial SSU rRNA
Rfam family: Bacterial small subunit ribosomal RNA
Source: RNAcentral